AUAAUCUACCCAGUAAUCCGGGAUAACAUCUCGAAAGAGAUGCUAAUACCUGAUAAGCCCACGAUCUCUUCGGAGAACGAGGGAAAAGGUGGGGACCUUCGGGCCUGCCGUUGCUGGAUGAGUCCGCGGCCCAUUAGCUAGUUGGUAGGGUAAUGGCCUACCAAGGCUACGAUGGGUAGCUGGCCUGAGAGGAUGAUCAGCCACACUGGAACUGAGACACGGUCCAG
This 227-nucleotide ribosomal RNA is filed under the name uncultured bacterium. RNAcentral's name for it is "partial 16S ribosomal RNA". It matches the Rfam family "Bacterial small subunit ribosomal RNA", at positions 121 to 334 of the family's 1533-position model. The record is from RNAcentral.